Molecule: long non-coding RNA, 223 nt
Organism: Limulus polyphemus (Atlantic horseshoe crab)
Lineage: Eukaryota; Metazoa; Arthropoda; Merostomata; Xiphosura; Limulidae
Exons: 3
Source: RefSeq, a predicted model, not a curated record
GUUUCUCCCCACUGUGUAUUCUUUCAUGUACUUUUAAAAGAUCCUUUUCUCUAAACCGUUUUUCACACAAUAUAUAACUGUAAGGUUUCUCCCCAGUGUGUUUUCUUUCAUGUCUUUUUAAGUGACCAUUUGUUCCAACCAUUUUUCACACACUGUACAACAGUAAGGUUUCUCCCCACUAUGUAUUCUUCCAUGUUCUUUUAAAUGAUACUUUUCACUAAAC